Molecule: long non-coding RNA, 468 nt
Organism: Oncorhynchus tshawytscha (Chinook salmon)
Lineage: Eukaryota; Metazoa; Chordata; Actinopteri; Salmoniformes; Salmonidae
Source: Ensembl
GUUGUAUUUAACCUCCGUAAUGGCCAAUGAUAAUGGCGAUUCUGAUCCAACCAUUAAUUCAUACAUUGCUGUGCCUCUUGCCUGAGGAUGGAAGUUCAAUAUGUAGCUACAGUAACGUUAGAUGUAGAAGGCUAAUGUUACCUCGAUUGGAAGUUAGGCUAGCGAACAAGCAUUUUAGCCAGGUAGCCUAGGACAACAAACAAAUAAAAGCGUGGACUGCUGAAUGACCGAGUGAUAAGACCGUGUCCUCAACAUGAAAGAGAGGAGGAUGGCAUUGGCGUUUCUCUACAAGUAGGGUGGAGCGCAGCAUAAGACCAACAGACGUCCUAAUAAUGUGCAGUCUGCUGACACUGGAUGACUGGAAACAGCAGAGAUGAAGGAGCUAUGGGUUAUAGCUGUCUUUGCUACAGAUGAACGUGGUACCUUCAGGCGUUUGGAAAUUGCUCCCAAGGAUAAACCAGACUUGUG